ACGCUCGACACCUACGGAGGCAGCAGUGAGGAAUAUUGGUCAAUGGGCGCUAGCCUGAACCAGCCAAGUAGCGUGAAGGAUGAAGGCUCUAUGGGUCGUAAACUUCUUUUAUAUAAGAAUAAAGUGCAGUAUGUAUACUGUUUUGUAUGUAUUAUAUGAAUAAGGAUCGGCUAACUCCGUGCCAGCAGCCACGGUAAUCUGAGCGGGCUGGCAAGGC
Molecule: ribosomal RNA, 217 nt
Filed under: uncultured bacterium
Lineage: Bacteria
Description: partial 16S ribosomal RNA
Rfam family: Bacterial small subunit ribosomal RNA
Source: RNAcentral